NNNNNUAUAAUUUCAGUAAUCAAUUUCUCUAGUUCCUUAGUGGAGAAGUUUCUGUCAAUGUGUACAGCACCAGAAACCAAGAGGAGGUGGCAGCGGAGUGUUCUCUGCUGAACAUGAGGUUGACUCUUGGUGUUGCUUUGCCAUUGAUGAUGGUUCUUCUCUUCCUCCAGGGGAGAGGGAGAGAAUACAGUCUGAGUGGG
This 200-nucleotide small nucleolar RNA is filed under the name Saimiri boliviensis boliviensis (Bolivian squirrel monkey). RNAcentral describes it as "Small nucleolar RNA U3 (ENSSBOG00000001851.1)". It matches the Rfam family "Small nucleolar RNA U3". From Rfam's summary of the family: Small nucleolar RNAs (snoRNAs) are involved in the processing and modification of rRNA in the nucleolus. Lineage: Eukaryota; Metazoa; Chordata; Mammalia; Primates; Cebidae. The record is from Rfam by way of RNAcentral.